Molecule: long non-coding RNA, 510 nt
Organism: Lolium perenne
Lineage: Eukaryota; Viridiplantae; Streptophyta; Magnoliopsida; Poales; Poaceae
Source: RefSeq, a predicted model, not a curated record
UCCCUAUAAAUACAUGUAAACGAAGCAGCUUAUUUGCAAGCAGUGCGCAAGGAGAAAUAAACACAAGAUAGAACCAGGAAUAGAAGUGAGCGAUCUCUUUGUCCAGAUCAUGGCACUGGUCAAGAUGAGCAGCAGCAGGGCCGUGUACUCCAUGGCAGUCGCUCUCCUGGUGCUUGCAAUGCUUUCUUCUACCUUCGAAUCUUGCCAAGCAGCUGACACUACUCCUCAAUCUAAGGGUCAGAAAUGCCAGCACCAUUUUCCUUGCACUCAGAUUGAGAAUUGCCGCGCAUUAUGCGAAGCACAAGAACCUGGGAAGGGUGUUCAUGCCAAAUGCAAGAACAAACACACGUGCUGCUGCACUUGACGCUUUAAAUUAGGUUGACGGCCUAAGAUGCCAAAUAAAUCCCAUAUUGAUCUGAUUUGUAGAGCAGUCUUGUGCAACAAAAUGCCCAGUGCCAUAUAUAUAAUAAAAUAUCUCUACCGCAUAAUAUUUAUAUGAGAUUUUUAGAA